CAAUAGCGUAUAUUAAAGUUGCUGCAGUUAAAAAGCUCGUAGUUGGAUUUCUGGUCUGCAACUUUUGGCCGGCCACGGUUUCGUGUGUCAGUGCUGCAUAGUUCUGGCCAUCCUUUCAAAUGAAUUGUAGUUGUCUUCAUUGAUAGCUGCAGUUUUUUUGAAUCUUUUACUUUGAACAAAUUAGAGUGUUUCAAGCAGGCUUUAUGCUAUGAAUACAUUAGCAUGGAAUAAUAAUUUAGGACUUCGGUUCUAUUUUGUUUGGUUUCUAGGACUGAAGUAAUGAUUGAUAGGGAUAGUUGGGGGUUGGCUAGUAUUCAGCGGCCAGAGGUGAAAUUCUCGGAUUCGCUGAAGACUAACUUAUGCGAAAGCAUUCAUCAAGGAUGUCUUCUUUAAUUCAAGAACGAAAGUUAGGGGAGUCGAAGAUGAUCAGAUACCAU
This 437-nucleotide ribosomal RNA is filed under the name uncultured eukaryote. RNAcentral's name for it is "bacterial SSU rRNA". It matches the Rfam family "Eukaryotic small subunit ribosomal RNA", at positions 592 to 1018 of the family's 1831-position model. The record is from RNAcentral.